This 423-nucleotide ribosomal RNA is filed under the name uncultured bacterium. RNAcentral's name for it is "bacterial SSU rRNA". It matches the Rfam family "Bacterial small subunit ribosomal RNA", at positions 357 to 772 of the family's 1533-position model. The record is from RNAcentral.
GGGAAUUUUGGACAAUGGGGGCAACCCUGAUCCAGCCAUGCCGCGUGUGUGAAGAAGGCCUUCGGGUUGUAAAGCACUUUCGGCCGGAACGAAAUCGCGCGGGUUAAUACCCAGCGUGGAUGACGGUACCGGAAGAAGCAGCACCGGCUAACUACGUGCCAGCAGCCGCGGUAAAACGUAGGAGACAAACGUUAUCCGGAGUUACUGGGCGUAAAGGGCGUGCAGGUGGUCUGUUAAGUCUGGCGUGAAAGCUCUCGGCUAAACCGGGAGAGGUCGUUGGAUACUGGCGGACUAGAGGACGGUAGAGGCGUGUGGAAUUCCGGGUGUAGUGGUGAAAUGCGUAGAGAUCCGGAGGAACACCAGUGGCGAAGGCGACACGCUGGGCCGUACCUGACACUAAAACGCGACAGCAUGGGGAGCGAA